UACGAAGGGGGCUAGCGUUGCUCGGAAUCACUGGGCGUAAAGCGCACGUAGGCGGCUUACUAAGUCAGGGGUGAAAUCCUGGAGCUCAACUCCAGAACUGCCUUUGAUACUGGUAAGCUCGAGUCCGGGAGAGGUGAGUGGAACUGCGAGUGUAGAGGUGAAAUUCGUAGAUAUUCGCAAGAACACCAGUGGCGAAGGCGGCUCACUGGCCCGGUACUGACGCUGAGGUGCGAAAGUGUGGGGAGCGAACAGG
Molecule: ribosomal RNA, 253 nt
Filed under: uncultured bacterium
Lineage: Bacteria
Description: partial 16S ribosomal RNA
Rfam family: Bacterial small subunit ribosomal RNA
Source: RNAcentral